GAUCAUGGCUCAGGAUGAACGCUAGCGACAGGCUUAACACAUGCAAGUCGAGGGGCAUCAUGAGGUAGCAAUACCUUGAUGGCGACCGGCGCACGGGUGAGUAACGCGUAUGCAACCUGCCUGAUACCGGGGUAUAGCCCAUGGAAACGUGGAUUAACACCCCAUAGUACUUUUAUCCUGCAUGGGAUGUGAGUUAAAUGUUCAAGGUAUCGGAUGGGCAUGCGUCUA
This 228-nucleotide ribosomal RNA is filed under the name uncultured bacterium. Its description in RNAcentral is "partial 16S ribosomal RNA". It matches the Rfam family "Bacterial small subunit ribosomal RNA", at positions 15 to 239 of the family's 1533-position model. The record is from RNAcentral.